UAACUCUGAUCUCCCUUCAAAACGCAUAAAUCUUUCGCCUUUUACUAAAGAUUUCCGUGGAGGGGGACACUCAAAUGAAUCUACUCGUAUUUUUGAUACUCUGCUCUGCAGAGU
Molecule: small nuclear RNA, 114 nt
Organism: Trichoplusia ni (cabbage looper)
Lineage: Eukaryota; Metazoa; Arthropoda; Insecta; Lepidoptera; Noctuidae
Product: U5 spliceosomal RNA
Exons: 1
Source: RefSeq, a predicted model, not a curated record